RNAcentral lists this ribosomal RNA (301 nucleotides) under uncultured bacterium. RNAcentral's name for it is "partial 16S ribosomal RNA". It matches the Rfam family "Bacterial small subunit ribosomal RNA", at positions 509 to 807 of the family's 1533-position model. The record is from RNAcentral.
CAGCAGCCACGGUAAUACGAAGGGGGCUAGCGUUGUUCGGAAUCACUGGGCGUAAAGCGCACGUAGGCGGAUAUUUAAGUCAGGGGUGAAAUCCCAGAGCUCAACUCUGGAACUGCCUUUGAUACUGGGUAUCUUGAGUAUGGAAGAGGUGAGUGGAAUUCCGAGUGUAGAGGUGAAAUUCGUAGAUAUUCGGAGGAACACCAGUGGCGAAGGCGGCUCACUGGUCCAUUACUGACGCUGAGGUGCGAAAGCGUGGGGAGCAAACAGGAUUAGAUACCCCGGUAGUCCCUGUCUCUUAUAC